CCUACGGGGGGCUGCAGUGGGGAAUUUUGGACAAUGGGGGCAACCCUGAUCCAGCCAUGCCGCGUGAGUGAAGAAGGCCUUCGGGUUGUAAAGCUCUUUCGGCCGGGAAGAAAUCGCAUCUCCUAAUACGGGGUGUGGAUGACGGUACCGGAAGAAGAAGCACCGGCUAACUACGUGCCAGCAGCCGCGGUAAUACGUAGGGUGCGAGCGUUAAUCGGAAUUACUGGGCGUAAAGCGUGCGCAGGCGGCUCACUAAGACAGAUGUGAAAUCCCCGGGCUUAACCUGGGAACUGCGUUUGUGACUGGUGGGCUUGAGUGCGGCAGAGGGGGGUGGAAUUCCACGUGUAGCAGUGAAAUGCGUAGAGAUGUGGAGGAACACCGAUGGCGAAGGCAGCCCCCUGGGUCGACACUGACGCUCAUGCACGAAAGCGUGGGGAGCAAACAGGAUUAGAUACCCCGGUAGUC
RNAcentral lists this ribosomal RNA (465 nucleotides) under uncultured Rhodocyclaceae bacterium. Its description in RNAcentral is "bacterial SSU rRNA". It matches the Rfam family "Bacterial small subunit ribosomal RNA", at positions 338 to 795 of the family's 1533-position model. The record is from RNAcentral. Lineage: Bacteria; Pseudomonadati; Pseudomonadota; Betaproteobacteria; Rhodocyclales; Rhodocyclaceae.